RNAcentral lists this ribosomal RNA (531 nucleotides) under Pristimantis pluvialis. RNAcentral describes it as "partial 16S ribosomal RNA". It matches the Rfam family "Bacterial large subunit ribosomal RNA", at positions 1837 to 2574 of the family's 2925-position model. Lineage: Eukaryota; Metazoa; Chordata; Amphibia; Anura; Strabomantidae. The record is from RNAcentral.
UUGAACCCAUAAGAGGUCCAGCCUGCCCAGUGACUCUGUUCAACGGCCGCGGUAUCCUAACCGUGCGAAGGUAGCGUAAUCACUUGUCUUCUAAAUAAAGACUAGUAUGAAAGGCAUCACGAGAGCUAAGCUGUCUCCCCCCUCUAAUCAGUGAACCUAAUCUCCCCGUGAAGAAGCGAGAAUCCACAUAUAAGACGAGAAGACCCUAUGGAGCUUAAAACAAUAUAAUACCUGCUUACCCCCCCCCUCCCAUUCAGAUUUUUUACCUCGGCACACUAAUUAUAAGUUUUUGGUUGGGGUGACCGCGGAGAAAAACUAACCCUCCGUAAUGAAAGGAAUUUUUCCCCAAACAAUAAGUUACAACUUUACAUUUCAAUAAAUUGACAUCCAUUGACCCAAUAUUUGAUCAACGAACCAAGUUACCCUAGGGAUAACAGCGCAAUCCACUUUGAGAGCCCCUAUCGACAAGUGGGCUUACGACCUCGAUGUUGGAUCGGGGUAUCCUGGUGGUGCAGCAGCUACUAAAGGCUC